GCCGGCCUGAAUGUGAACCAGGACGGGGGACCGUGAGUAACAAAGCGAGGGGCUCCGGUGCUCCAUCAAGGUCAGGGUUUCUUGCCUCAAGCUUCAAGAGGCAAAAGCACAGAAGAGCUCUUGGCUGGCAGAUGAAAUGAAAAGAUAAGGCUGCUGGCAGCCGCCCCAGACAUCUCUGCACCAACAAAAGCUGCAUCGCAUCCUUCGGGCCAAGUGGGGUUGCAGCGUGGGGACGGCCAAGCUUCUGGAGCGGGCGCCGGAGGAGCCUGGGGUCUGAGGAAGGACAGGGCACCCUUGCAGGGGAAACGUGAUGGUCAGCAGGACCUCACGAGACAGAGGCCGGCUUCCCGUUGGCCUCUCCAGGAAGCAGGCACCGUCUGCCUUUCCCAGCCCUGACGCUGCAGUUGUCUUGUCUGGGGCCGGGAGUUUGGAAGCCUCUGGUGAGCCAGCAGCUCCCAGGAGGCUACAGGGUCACAGCAGGGGAUACCUCCACAGUCAUCGGCCCCCUCCACCCCUCCCCUCUGCAGCCGUGGAAAUACAGGCACACAGAUUCAGUCUCUUCACCCAACCUACUUAGGAUGCAACCCAGGCACCCUCUCGGACCAUUUCACACGCGUUUAUCACCUCCGGGAAUGCUCACCCGUCGUUCCAGCCCCCCAUCCUCGCACCCUGCCCAGCACAUGGUAGGAUCUGGACGCAGCCCCAGUUGAAAUCUAAGCACGGGAAGCGGGGAGAGCUCCGCAGAGACCAGAAUGCUGAUGUGACAACUGGAGCUUCAGCAACUCUUUUGGCUCAUGAGGCACCUGUGAGACAGGAAGGCUAAGAGUAGAAGAAGAGAAAAAGAGGAGGAGCCCAGGUCCGUGGUCACCCUGUGGAGCUACCCAGGUAUCCCAGGACCUUGAACCUCUAGAAUUUUUUUUUUUAACGUGAAAGAGAAGUUUCCAUUGUGUUUGUUGCAGCUUCUGUCACUCACACAGUUCUUAUCUGUUACACAUGUCAUAAAGGAUCACGUAAGCACCAGUGUACUUAUUUUACCCAUUUUGGGUUUUUUUUAAAUGUUUUAAAAUGUUUAUAUUUAUUUUUGAGACAGAGAGAGACAGAGCGUGAGCAGGGGAGGGGCAGAGAGAGAGGGAGACACAGAAUCCGAAGCAGGCUCCGGGCUCUGAGCGGUCAGCACAGAGCCCAAAGUGGGGCUCGAACCCACGAACCGUGAGAUCAUGACCUGAACUGAAGUUGGAUGCUCAACUGACUGAGCCACUCAGAUGCCCCGGGUUUUGUUUUUUUUUAAGUUUGUUUGUUUGUUUGCUUGUUUAUUUAGAAUAUAUGGGGAAGAGGCGGAGAGAGAAAGAGGGAGAGAAUCCCAAUGCAGGGCUGGAACCCACAAACUGUGAGAUCAUGACCUGAGCUGAAAUCCAGAGUCGGAUGCUUAACCAACUGAGCCACCCUGGCGCCCCUUUAUUUUACCCAUUUUGGAAGAACAUCUUUCUGGAAUGCAUUGCUCUCUUGCCUUUUUUAAACCAAGGGUGCAGUGAACAUCUAGGGUCGCUCGAUAUAACACGGGACACCCGGUGAAUUUGAAUUUCAGAUAAGCAACAGAUAAUUUUUUGGUAUACGCCUAUCCCCAGUAUUGCACAGGACAUACUCAUACUAAAUAAUAAUGAGGUGUUCAUCUGAAAUUCAGAUUUAACUGGGAGUCCCACAUUUUUAUUUGCUAACUCUGCCAGCCCUCACGGAACAGACUGUUUCCCUGCUGUUACUCAUGCUGAUGUGUGCGGUGAUGCUGUGGGGGCCUAUCGAGACGUGUCGGGCUUUUAGCCCUUCUGUGAAAUGGACCCAGUUUGCCACGCUUUUCCCUUUUAUUCCACGCUUCCUAAUGCUUCCCUAUCUUCUUUGGUCAUCAGUCUGUCGGUAGCCCUGUCUGUUGCUCUAACAGGCAUGUCUGUCCUACCCCUGUCCUCAUUGGUGAUGUGCCCUGGUAACCUGUGGAUGAACACCGCCUUCAGAGGGGCGCGCCCCGGGACCGGAAGUCUGGGUUCGACCCCAGGUCCCCCCACCCCCACCCCGAGUCACCGUGGGCAGCUCAUCGAACCCAUGUGAGCUUGGAUUCCUGCUUAGAUAAUAUGGGGGGGGGGGGAAUUAGAGCUGCCUCGUGGGUUAUGUGAGGCUUAACUGUGGGAACUGCUGGGGCCGUGCCUGGCCCUCCCUAGGCCCUGAGCAGAUGGGGUAAUUGUCGUGCGGUGGGCUCAGCGACCGGCUAAGCAAACUGGAGAAACAGAGAUCUAAGGAGAGAGCUUCUAUGAGUAAAACAUGAGCAACAGGCAUGCGGAGGUUGCUGAGAGGGGGUGCAGGAGGGAGGCUGGGGGGGCCGAGCACUGAAGUCACAGGAGAGCGUGAGGACACAUGCCCAGUCAGUGUGGGUGGUGCCAGUGGACAGCGUGGGCAUUGUUAUCUGUUCCCCCAAAUUCACGUGCUCAAACCCUGACCCCCAGCACCCCAGAAUGUGGCUGUUCCGGAGACGGGGUCUUUCAAGGGGUGUUUAAGUUAAAAUGAGGCCGUUGGGGUGAGCCCUGACCCAAUCUGACUGGUGGCCUUAUAAGAAGAGGAGGUUCGGACACAGAUGGGCACAGAGGGAUGACCACGUGAGGACAUGGGGAGAGGACGGCCAUCUGUAAACCAAGGAGAGAGGCCCCAGGAGAAACCGGCCCCUGCGGAUGCCUUGAUCUCAGACUUCCAGACCCCAGAACUGAGAAAAUAAAUUUCCCUUGUUUAAGCUGCCCCGUCGGCGGUACUUUGUUAAGGCAGCCCCCUAGCAAACUAGUACAGGUGUGGAAACAGAAGGUUCUGGAAAGACAGCAGCAGGCCGAGUGCCCGCGUGCCGCAGUUCCUCCCUUUAUCCAACAGAUAUUAUUAUUGUUAUUGCCGUCCUUAUUGAUGUCAGGGAGUUCAGCAAGGAACACGGUCCUUCCCGUGACAGGGACAGAAACCCAAGAGAAGAAGAAACUA
Acinonyx jubatus (cheetah) is the source of this 3003-nucleotide long non-coding RNA. RefSeq lists it as uncharacterized. NCBI's taxonomy places the organism in Eukaryota, Metazoa, Chordata, Mammalia, Carnivora, Felidae. The record is from RefSeq and is a predicted model, not a curated record. The transcript has 3 exons.